GCAUAUCAAUAAGCGGAGGAAAAGAAACCAACAGGGAUUGCCCUAGUAACGGCGAGUGAAGCGGCAACAGCUCAAAUUUGAAAUCUGGCUCUUUUAGAGUCCGAGUUGUAAUUUGCAGAGGGCGCUUUGGCUUUGGCAGCGGUCCAAGUUCCUUGGAACAGGACGUCACAGAGGGUGAGAAUCCCGUACGUGGUCGCUAGCUAUUGCCGUGUAAAGCCCCUUCGACGAGUCGAGUUGUUUGGGAAUGCAGCUCUAAAUGGGAGGUAAAUUUCUUCUAAAGCUAAAUAUUGGCCAGAGACCGAUAGCGCACAAGUAGAGUGAUCGAAAGAUGAAAAGCACUUUGGAAAGAGAGUCAAACAGCACGUGAAAUUGUUGAAAGGGAAGCGCUUGCAGCCAGACUUGCUUGCAGUUGCUCAUCCGGGCUUUUGCCCGGUGCACUCUUCUGCAGGCAGGCCAGCAUCAGUUUGGGCGGUGGGAUAAAGGUCUCUGACACGUUCCUUCCUUCGGGUUGGCCAUAUAGGGGAGACGUCAUACCACCAGCCUGGACUGAGGUCCGCGCAUCUGCUAGGAUGCUGGCGUAAUGGCUGUAAGCGGCCCGUCUUGAAACACGGACC
Molecule: ribosomal RNA, 614 nt
Filed under: Bipolaris sp. IFM 52973
Lineage: Eukaryota; Fungi; Ascomycota; Dothideomycetes; Pleosporales; Pleosporaceae
Also listed under: 1 other name
Description: LSU rRNA
Rfam family: Eukaryotic large subunit ribosomal RNA
Source: RNAcentral